Molecule: non-coding RNA, 696 nt
Organism: Nothobranchius furzeri (turquoise killifish)
Lineage: Eukaryota; Metazoa; Chordata; Actinopteri; Cyprinodontiformes; Nothobranchiidae
Source: RefSeq, a predicted model, not a curated record
AUUAGCACUUAUAGUUUGUAAAUGGCACCCAGAAUUAUGUUGCACGAAGCACAAUUUCACAUCAUUCUGGGUCCAUUUGUGUGAAAACAAGGUCCAAUCUGGCUGAAACGUUACAAGAAGGUAGAAUCUAUUGAGUUGUAAGUGAUCUGAACGUUUCAUGAUUAUCUCACAUUCCCAUAGUGGGUCAAACCAUGUCCUAAAGGUCACCGGGCCUGGUGUCACUUUAAAGAGCGGGUCAAUUGAGCCUCGGAGUCCUUCUCCACCCACGUAUCAAUUUUAAAAAAUGCAACAUUAGUAGGCGUUGCCUGGAGGACCGAGAGGGCGGAGCCGCGGCAGUGACGAAGACGAUGGCUAACUAGACGAAGCUAGCUCCCUUCACUCUGAGCAGUUGAUAGAAGUGGAGGACGUUUCUCCCCCUCCUUACAGACACUCGAGAAGAAAGGGACCAAGUCUAUUUGGAGGAGACAAGCGGACCUGAGUCUUAUUGUUUUGAGCUUGUGAGUUGCCUGAAACUCCCAGAACCGACCCAACAGAAUCACCUCUGAAAGGUCCUCUGGUGUCUGCAGCUGGUCUCUGGUGUCUGCAGGUGGUCUCCUCUGCUGGUGCCAUCAGGAUCAGGAGCUUCCAGAAGAAUGUGCCUUUCAAUGACUCUUUCCCCCUUAUUUGUUAUAUUAAUUAAAUAAAUCUCAAUUUAUA